AGGUGUACUCUGAAGUGGAUGAGUGUUGUAAAGCAUUGUCACAGCGCCUUGGUGAUCAGUAUUAUUUUUUCUUAGACAGACCGACUGAGUUAGAUGCACUGGUAUUCGGUCAUGUAUAUACAUUACUAACAACACGACAGAUUAGUCGGAAGUUUGCAGAAAUCAUUGAGACGUAUCCGAAUUUGAUUCGAUUUUGUCAACGAAUUGAGAAAAAGUACUUUGAAGAAAAAGAACUUCCUGGGUAGAUGGAGAUUUUUUUAUCAUCUUUUGGUUGUCAUGACAGCAGAUGGGUGUACGUUAUGUUAUCCAGCAUUAUGAGGUUAUGUAUUAUUAAAGUACAUAGUAUUAGCUACGGUUAUAUAGUAUUUUUAUUAAUACCUGGCAAACAUUGACCAGUGUUUCUGACACCAUUUCAGUUCUAUAGUGCCACUCAUGUAUGAACAUCAAAUUAGAACCCCAGUUUGUGUUUUUUGAUUGUUUAUCUUUGAAUGUGGACUGUUACAUUGUAAGUAAUAUGAAUAAAAAAGAUGAUUUUCUUGAAA
Saccoglossus kowalevskii is the source of this 542-nucleotide long non-coding RNA. NCBI's taxonomy places the organism in Eukaryota, Metazoa, Hemichordata, Enteropneusta, Harrimaniidae. The record is from RefSeq and is a predicted model, not a curated record.